Molecule: non-coding RNA, 199 nt
Filed under: Gracilibacillus boraciitolerans JCM 21714
Lineage: Bacteria; Bacillati; Bacillota; Bacilli; Caryophanales; Bacillaceae
Description: 6S / SsrS RNA
Rfam family: 6S / SsrS RNA
About the family: E. coli 6S RNA was the first non coding RNA to be sequenced, but its function was unknown until recently. It consists of 184 nucleotides that fold into an extended hairpin structure with a large single-stranded internal bulge. The 6S RNA specifically associates with RNA polymerase holoenzyme containing the sigma70 specificity factor.
Source: Rfam by way of RNAcentral
AUAAUCCUGAUGUGCUCGUCGGAUUAACGAUGUUUUGACCGAACACUAUUAACAUCGGGAGCCCGGUGUUCUUAUAUGGUGUGCAUGCCGCUUACUUACGAAAGUAUUGAUUGCGGAAGCAUGAAGUAUCAGACAGGGCACCCACCUGCCUUGAGCGGGAUCAAAACCUCACCAGUGCGACGGCACAAUUGGGAUUAUU